AUUCUUGGUCAUUUUAGAGGAAGUAAAAGUCGUAACAAGGUUUCCGUAGGUGAACCUGCGGAAGGAUCAUUAAUGGGAGAUAAUCUGGACCGUGUACAAGUCUCCUGAAUGCUUAACUUGCAUGUGCACGCCUCAACCGGAUGUUACUUGUCCUCUUCACACACCUGUGCACCAUCUGUAGCUGGGGGAUGAUCACGAGAUUGUCGAAUGCCCCUCGUUACGAAUUGUUUUUACAUUGCCGAAUAUAAUAAAGUUUUUUGGAACGUUUGGGAAAUUGGAAAUACAACUUUCAGCAACGGAUCUCUUGGCUCUCGCAUCGAUGAAGAACGCAGCGAAAUGCGAUAAGUAAUGUGAAUUGCAGAAUUCAGUGAAUCAUCGAAUCUUUGAACGCACCUUGCGCUCCUUGGUAUUCCGAGGAGCAUGCCUGUUUGAGUGUCAUGAAAUUCUCAACUGCUUUGGCUUUAUUGUUCAAAGUGAAGUUGGAUGUGGAGUUUGUUGGCUGUUGUUCGACUACUCCAAAAAGCAUUAAAGCGGCCUUUGUUGGCAGAAAGUAUCUUUGACGUGAUAAUUGUCUACGUCGUAGAGAAAGCCUUUGGGAGCUUUGUAACAAUUUUUGACCUAUUCGACCUCAAAUCAGGCAGGACUACCCGCUGAACUUAAGCAUAUCAAUAAGCGGAGGA
Molecule: small RNA, 680 nt
Filed under: uncultured Basidiomycota
Lineage: Eukaryota; Fungi; Basidiomycota
Description: eukaryotic LSU rRNA
Rfam family: 5.8S ribosomal RNA (bases 285-438)
Source: RNAcentral